This 492-nucleotide ribosomal RNA is filed under the name uncultured bacterium. Its description in RNAcentral is "partial 16S ribosomal RNA". It matches the Rfam family "Bacterial small subunit ribosomal RNA", at positions 29 to 507 of the family's 1533-position model. The record is from RNAcentral.
AGUGAACGCUGGCGGUAGGCCUAACACAUGCAAGUCGAACGGCAGCACAGUAAGAGCUUGCUCUUACGGGUGGCGAGUGGCGGACGGGUGAGGAAUACAUCGGAAUCUACUUUUUCGUGGGGGAUAACGUCGGGAACCUUACGCUAAUACCGCAUACGACCUACGGGUGAAAGCAGGGGAUCUUCGGACCUUGCGCGUUUGAAUGAGCCGAUGUCGGAUUAGCUAGUUGGCGGGGUAAAGGCCCACCAAGGCGACGAUCCGUAGCUGGUCUGAGAGGAUGAACAGCCACACUGGAGCUGAGACACGGUCCAGACUCCUACGGGAGGCAGCAGUGGGGAAGAUUGGACGAUGGGCGCAAGCCUGAUCCAGCCAUACCGCGUGGGUGAAGAAGGCCUUCGGGUUGGAAAGCCCUUUUGUUGGGAAAGAAAAGCAGCAGGUUAAUACCCCGCUGUUCUGACGGUACCCAAAGAAUAAGCACCGGCUAACUUCGUG